CCUACGGGAGGCAGCAGUGGGGAAUAUUGGGCAAUGGGCGCAAGCCUGACCCAGCAACGCCGCGUGAAGGAAGAAGGCUUUCGGGUUGUAAACUUCUUUUAAGAGGGAAGAGAAGAAGACGGUACCUCUUGAAUAAGCCACGGCUAACUACGUGCCAGCAGCCGCGGUAAUACGUAGGUGGCACGCGUUAUCCGGAUUUACUGGGUGUAAAGGGCGUGCCGCCGGGAAGACAAGUCAGAUGUGAAAUCCCGAGGCUCAACCGCGGAACUGCAUCUGAAAUUGUUUUGCUUGAGGGCCGGAGAGGUCAGAGGAAUGCAUGGUGUAGGGGUGAAAGGCGUAGAGAUAAGGAGGAACACUAGUGGCGAAGGCGGAUGAAUGGAAGACUACUGACGGUGAGGCGCGAAAGCGUGGGGAGCAAACAGGAUGAGAUACCCGGGUAGUC
RNAcentral lists this ribosomal RNA (442 nucleotides) under uncultured bacterium. RNAcentral describes it as "partial 16S ribosomal RNA". It matches the Rfam family "Bacterial small subunit ribosomal RNA", at positions 338 to 795 of the family's 1533-position model. The record is from RNAcentral.